UGGCGGACGGGUGAGUAACGCGUGGGGAACCUGCCCUGUACAGGGGGAUAACACUUAGAAAUAGGUGCUAAUACCGCAUAAGCGCACAGUNUCGCAUGAUACAGUGUGAAAAACUCCGGUGGUACAGGAUGGACCCGCGUCUGAUUAGCUGGUUGGCGGGGUAACGGCCCACCAAGGCGACGAUCAGUAGCCGGCCUGAGAGGGUGAACGGCCACAUUGGGACUGAGACACGGCCCAAACUCCUACGGAAGGCAGCAG
This 258-nucleotide ribosomal RNA is filed under the name uncultured bacterium. RNAcentral's name for it is "partial 16S ribosomal RNA". It matches the Rfam family "Bacterial small subunit ribosomal RNA", at positions 96 to 354 of the family's 1533-position model. The record is from RNAcentral.